UCCGCCGCGAGACGGAAUCUGAAGGAAGCCGGUGGCAAACAUCUGGUCUGACGGACAGAAAUCCGAUAAAAGGCCUAAGGGUGAGGAUAAGAUUGCAAAAGAAACCGAAGUCCGAUAACUAUUCGAAAUCGCCCAAGGUAAAUCGGGCAGACAUAAGAUGGAAAGAGUAUGUC
Molecule: non-coding RNA, 173 nt
Organism: Bacteroides sp. CAG:545
Lineage: Bacteria; Pseudomonadati; Bacteroidota; Bacteroidia; Bacteroidales; Bacteroidaceae
Source: Rfam